RNAcentral lists this ribosomal RNA (1525 nucleotides) under Parabacteroides distasonis. RNAcentral describes it as "16S ribosomal RNA". It matches the Rfam family "Bacterial small subunit ribosomal RNA". Lineage: Bacteria; Pseudomonadati; Bacteroidota; Bacteroidia; Bacteroidales; Tannerellaceae. The record is from RNAcentral.
ACAACGAAGAGUUUGAUCCUGGCUCAGGAUGAACGCUAGCGACAGGCUUAACACAUGCAAGUCGAGGGGCAGCGGGGGUAGCGAUACCCGCCGGCGACCGGCGCACGGGUGAGUAACGCGUAUGCAACUUGCCUAUCAGAGGGGGAUAACCCGGCGAAAGUCGGACUAAUACCGCAUGAAGCAGGGGCCCCGCAUGGGGAUAUUUGCUAAAGAUUCAUCGCUGAUAGAUAGGCAUGCGUUCCAUUAGGCAGUUGGCGGGGUAACGGCCCACCAAACCGACGAUGGAUAGGGGUUCUGAGAGGAAGGUCCCCCACAUUGGUACUGAGACACGGACCAAACUCCUACGGGAGGCAGCAGUGAGGAAUAUUGGUCAAUGGCCGAGAGGCUGAACCAGCCAAGUCGCGUGAGGGAUGAAGGUUCUAUGGAUCGUAAACCUCUUUUAUAAGGGAAUAAAGUGCGGGACGUGUCCCGUUUUGUAUGUACCUUAUGAAUAAGGAUCGGCUAACUCCGUGCCAGCAGCCGCGGUAAUACGGAGGAUCCGAGCGUUAUCCGGAUUUAUUGGGUUUAAAGGGUGCGUAGGCGGCCUUUUAAGUCAGCGGUGAAAGUCUGUGGCUCAACCAUAGAAUUGCCGUUGAAACUGGGGGGCUUGAGUAUGUUUGAGGCAGGCGGAAUGCGUGGUGUAGCGGUGAAAUGCAUAGAUAUCACGCAGAACCCCGAUUGCGAAGGCAGCCUGCCAAGCCAUUACUGACGCUGAUGCACGAAAGCGUGGGGAUCAAACAGGAUUAGAUACCCUGGUAGUCCACGCAGUAAACGAUGAUCACUAGCUGUUUGCGAUACACUGUAAGCGGCACAGCGAAAGCGUUAAGUGAUCCACCUGGGGAGUACGCCGGCAACGGUGAAACUCAAAGGAAUUGACGGGGGCCCGCACAAGCGGAGGAACAUGUGGUUUAAUUCGAUGAUACGCGAGGAACCUUACCCGGGUUUGAACGCAUUCGGACCGAGGUGGAAACACCUUUUCUAGCAAUAGCCGUUUGCGAGGUGCUGCAUGGUUGUCGUCAGCUCGUGCCGUGAGGUGUCGGCUUAAGUGCCAUAACGAGCGCAACCCUUGCCACUAGUUACUAACAGGUAAAGCUGAGGACUCUGGUGGGACUGCCAGCGUAAGCUGCGAGGAAGGCGGGGAUGACGUCAAAUCAGCACGGCCCUUACAUCCGGGGCGACACACGUGUUACAAUGGCGUGGACAAAGGGAGGCCACCUGGCGACAGGGAGCGAAUCCCCAAACCACGUCUCAGUUCGGAUCGGAGUCUGCAACCCGACUCCGUGAAGCUGGAUUCGCUAGUAAUCGCGCAUCAGCCAUGGCGCGGUGAAUACGUUCCCGGGCCUUGUACACACCGCCCGUCAAGCCAUGGGAGCCGGGGGUACCUGAAGUCCGUAACCGAAAGGAUCGGCCUAGGGUAAAACUGGUGACUGGGGCUAAGUCGUAACAAGGUAGCCGUACCGGAAGGUGCGGCUGGAACACCUCCUUU